AGUGAACGCUGGCGGUAGGCCUAACACAUGCAAGUCGAACGGCAGCACAGUAAGAGCUUGCUCUUACGGGUGGCGAGUGGCGGACGGGUGAGGAAUACAUCGGAAUCUACUUUUUCGUGGGGGAUAACGUAGGGAAACUUACGCUAAUACCGCAUACGACCUACGGGUGAAAGCAGGGGAUCUUCGGACCUUGCGCGAUUGAAUGAGCCGAUGUCGGAUUAGCUAGUUGGCGGGGUAAAGGCCCACCAAGGCGACGAUCCGUAGCUGGUCUGAGAGGAUGAUCAGCCACACUGGAACUGGUACACGGUCCAGACUCCUACGGUAAGCAUCAGAGGGGAAUAGUAGACAAUGGGCGCAAGCCUGAUCCAGCCGUACCGCGUGGGUGAAAGAAGCCUUCAGUUUGUAAAGCCGUUUUUUUGGGAAAAAAAAGCAGCAGGUUAUGACCCCGCUGUACUGACGGUACCCAAAAAAUAAGCACCGGCUAACUUCGUG
RNAcentral lists this ribosomal RNA (492 nucleotides) under uncultured bacterium. Its description in RNAcentral is "partial 16S ribosomal RNA". It matches the Rfam family "Bacterial small subunit ribosomal RNA", at positions 29 to 507 of the family's 1533-position model. The record is from RNAcentral.